RNAcentral lists this ribosomal RNA (179 nucleotides) under Ruellia riopalenquensis. RNAcentral describes it as "5.8S ribosomal RNA". The stretch from base 14 to 172 matches the Rfam family "5.8S ribosomal RNA". From Rfam's summary of the family: 5.8S ribosomal RNA (5.8S rRNA) is a component of the large subunit of the eukaryotic ribosome. It is transcribed by RNA polymerase I as part of the 45S precursor that also contains 18S and 28S rRNA. Functionally, it is thought that 5.8S rRNA may be involved in ribosome translocation. The record is from RNAcentral. Lineage: Eukaryota; Viridiplantae; Streptophyta; Magnoliopsida; Lamiales; Acanthaceae.
UGAAUGUCAAAACGACUCUCGGCAACGGAUAUCUCGGCUCUCGCAUCGAUGAAGAACGUAAGCGAAAUGCGAUACUUGGUGUGAAUUGCAGAAUCCCGUGAACCAUCAGAGUCUUUGAACGCAAGUUGCGCCUGAAGCCCUUCGGGCCGAGGGCACGCCUGCCUGGGCGUCACGCAUCG